GCCGGGAUGGCGGAAUUGGUAGACGCCCAGGACUUAAAAUCCUGUGUCGAGCGAUCGACGUGCCAGUUCGAUUCUGGUUCCCGGCA
This 86-nucleotide transfer RNA is filed under the name Treponema bryantii. Its description in RNAcentral is "tRNA-Leu". It matches the Rfam family "tRNA". Rfam says of the family: Transfer RNA (tRNA) molecules are approximately 80 nucleotides in length. Their secondary structure includes four short double-helical elements and three loops (D, anti-codon, and T loops). RNAcentral also lists the same sequence under 3 other names. The record is from RNAcentral. Lineage: Bacteria; Pseudomonadati; Spirochaetota; Spirochaetia; Treponematales; Treponemataceae.